AGAGUUUGAUCCUGGCUCAGGACGAACGCUGGCGGCGUGCCUAACACAUGCAAGUCGAGCGAGGUGCAGCGAUGUACCUAGCGGCGGACGGGUGAGUAACACGUGGGCAACCUGCCCUAUACAGGGGGAUAGCCACUCGAAAGGGUGAUUAAUACCGCAUAAAGCUAUGUAACCGCAUGGAUAUAUAGUGAAAGGAGGAAUCCGGUAUAGGAUGGGCCCGCGGCCCAUUAGCUAGUUGGUGAGGUAACGGCCCACCAAGGCGACGAUGGGUAGCCGAUCUGAGAGGAUGACCGGCCACAUUGGAACUGAGAGACGGUCCAGACUCCUACGGGAGGCAGCAGUGGGGAAUAUUGCGCAAUGGGGGAAACCCUGACGCAGCAACGCCGCGUGAGUGAAGAAGGCCUUCGGGUUGUAAAGCUCUGUCAUUAGGGACGAAGAAGGACGGUACCUAAGGAGGAAGCCACGGCUAACUACGUGCCAGCAGCCGCGGUAAUACGUAGGUGGCGAGCGUUGUCCGGAAUUACUGGGCGUAAAGGGUGCGUAGGCGGUACAUUAAGUCAGAUGUGAAAACCCGGGGCUUAACUUCGGGCAUGCAUUUGAGACUAAUGUGCUAGAGUGCAGGAGAGGGAAGCGGAAUUCCUAGUGUAGCGGUGAAAUGCGUAGAUAUUAGGAAGAACACCAGUGGCGAAGGCGGCUUUCUGGACUGUAACUGACGCUGAGGCACGAAAGCGUGGGGAGCAAACAGGAUUAGAUACCCUGGUAGUCCACGCUGUAAACGAUGAGUGCUAGGUGUAGGGGACAUGGAGUCCUCUGUGCCGGAGCAAACGCAAUAAGCACUCCGCCUGGGGAGUACGGUCGCAAGACUAAAACUCAAAGGAAUUGACGG
This 886-nucleotide ribosomal RNA is filed under the name uncultured bacterium. RNAcentral's name for it is "bacterial SSU rRNA". It matches the Rfam family "Bacterial small subunit ribosomal RNA", at positions 8 to 916 of the family's 1533-position model. The record is from RNAcentral.